Molecule: long non-coding RNA, 549 nt
Organism: Orbicella faveolata
Lineage: Eukaryota; Metazoa; Cnidaria; Anthozoa; Scleractinia; Merulinidae
Source: RefSeq, a predicted model, not a curated record
GGAAUAUGAAGUGCUUUGUGUUCUUCAUAAUAACUUGGGUCGUGGUGGCGUCAUUCCCUCUCGACAAACAAGCUCAGGAUGAAGAUCAAGGCAAAGACAAAGAUCCUGUAACACGACUGAACGAUCCACAGUACCUUCCAUACAUCACAUAUUAUAUCCCGUAUGGCCGCCGAGAUUACAUGUCGUUUGGCCAUACCGGUGGUAAUGUUGGCCAACAAGGAACUAACUCGGGGAAUGUUGCUGUCGGACAUCAAUGGAACGCUGGAUAUUAUGGCCGACGAGAAACACGACUGAACGACCCACAGUUCUAUCCGGCCAUUCCAUACAUCCCAUACAUCCAUUAUCGCAAACGUCAGACUUCGUCUCAAAGCACAAGAAUUGUAGGAGGAAAAUAAAUGCAGAUUCCUCUCCUGGACAUGCAGGAAGAAUUAAUUGUAAAAGAGUGAGACAAUAAAGAGUGACUUCCUGUAAAUACUACGGAUAGGUGUGCAAAAUGCAAAAAUCGAAUUCCCUCAAACUUUUUCACAAGAAAGCCCUCUGGAAACUAUU